AGAGCGAACGCUGGCGGCGUGCUUAACACAUGCAAGUCGAACGCGCAGCAUUCUGUAGCAAUACAGGAUGUGGGCGCGUGGCGAACGGGUGCGUAACACGUGGGUAACCUUCCUUCAGGUGGGGAAUAACCCAGCGAAAGUUGGGCUAAUACCGCAUAACAUGACGAUGCCACAUGGUGUUGUCUUCAAAGGCGCAAGUCGCCAGAAGAGGGAUCCGCGGCCGAUUAGCUUGUUGGCGAGGUAAUGGCUCACCAAGGCAUUGAUCGGUAGCCGGACUGAGAGGUUGGCCGGCCACACUGGAACUGAGACACGGUCCAGACUCCUACGGGAGGCAGCAGUGGGGAAUCUUGCACAAUGGACGAAAGUCUGAUGCAGCAACGCCGCGUGGGGGAUGGAAACUUCUCGGAGUGUAAACCCCUUUCGACCCGGACGAAUGCCCGCAAGGGUUUGACGGUACGGGUAUAAGAAGCCCGGCUAACUACGCGCCAGCAGCCGCGGUAA
RNAcentral lists this ribosomal RNA (501 nucleotides) under uncultured bacterium. RNAcentral describes it as "SSU rRNA". It matches the Rfam family "Bacterial small subunit ribosomal RNA", at positions 26 to 523 of the family's 1533-position model. The record is from RNAcentral.